Molecule: microRNA precursor, 104 nt
Filed under: Echinops telfairi (small Madagascar hedgehog)
Lineage: Eukaryota; Metazoa; Chordata; Mammalia; Afrosoricida; Tenrecidae
Description: miRNA (ENSETEG00000022030.1)
Rfam family: mir-503 microRNA precursor family (bases 17-83)
Source: RNAcentral
GGCCCGCUCUCAGCCGUGCCCUAGCAGCGGGAACAGUACUGCAGUGAAUACUAGUCUGGAGUAUUGUUGCUGCUGCCCUGGCAAGGCCGGGACUUCGCACGGGC